Molecule: long non-coding RNA, 422 nt
Organism: Centruroides sculpturatus (bark scorpion)
Lineage: Eukaryota; Metazoa; Arthropoda; Arachnida; Scorpiones; Buthidae
Exons: 3
Source: RefSeq, a predicted model, not a curated record
UUGAUUUAAAUAAUUCAAAAUUUCAUUUCUAGUAACUUAAUAUUCUUAUCUUCAAUAUAUGGAUUAUUUUAAAUCAACAAAGUUUAUUUUAAUUCACUUCCUACGGGAUUAGUCGUAUAUUGUGGAACGGGUAUCAUUUUGUUUCAAUAUGGCAAAAGACGCAAGUCAGAGUACACAGUGUAUAUACAAAGUUAUAUGACAUUCAUGAUUUGAGAUAGUUGUGAAGAUGUCAGAAGUACAAAGCUUCAAAAUUCCGUCUUUAGGUUUCAGUUAUAAACUUUCUAGUGCCAUAUCUUCUUUCCAUUUCGAAAGAAAGAAAUAUUUUUUCAACACAAAAUAUUAAAUGUCUUUCUAUUACUGUUUUCAAAAUUAUAAUUCUAGUAAUUAAGUUUAAAAUUUAAUUUACAAAAGAAUUAAUUUUU